Phyllostomus discolor (pale spear-nosed bat) is the source of this 176-nucleotide long non-coding RNA. RefSeq lists it as uncharacterized. The transcript has 3 exons. The record is from RefSeq and is a predicted model, not a curated record. NCBI's taxonomy places the organism in Eukaryota, Metazoa, Chordata, Mammalia, Chiroptera, Phyllostomidae.
UGACUGCUCUCAGCGACGGAGCCAGGGGCUGAGGGCACAGCCAGCGGGCGGCGCGCCGCGGACUCCCAGGCAGCCCGCGGAAAGGGUUCUGAAUGUCACCAUAAAGAGACUGUCACCCAUCCUUCUCAUCUAGAGACCUGUUCUUGGGACCUACGGACAGGAGGUGAAGGAGAGCA